CCGGUGCUCUGGGCAGAGGAUGUUUUUUCACACUGACUCCUGCGGGAGGAGGGGCUCACAGAGCCGCUGAGUUUCGGUUUCCUGGCGCUCAGGGCCUGAGCCCAGGGCGGAGAAACAGAGAGAAAAAGCAGCCCUGAGGCGCAGGGGUCAUGCUCUCGGCCAGGCACGCCCUGCCCUUGGAGGAGGGUUUCCAGCUGAGCCCUCUGUCAGCAAGACCCGCGUAGACGGAGCCUGGAAGGGCCCAGCACGGGGGCAGCCAGCCUCUGAGACCCCAGGCCAGGCACCCCCGCCUCCCGCUCCCUCACGGGGACAGACAAGCAGAAAGCCGGGAAGUGGGGGCACCUGGGCCUGGGCAUGGCAUCGGAGCUCCCUUAAGGAGGCUCAGCCUGUCUUCAUUUUGUUCAUGCCUUGUCCCAUCCCUGCCUUCCUGAGUGCCCCAGCCCCAUACACACCACACCCACACUGUGGUCCCCAGGGAGACUUCGGAAGGCCCAGGAAAGGGACCAGGUUCCUGCUUUGCUAAUCGAGAUGAGAGGAAGACUGCAGCCAGCAGUCAGACCACCAGACCACGUCUGUAGACUGCAUCGGUCACUGUGGCUGUGGGAUUAGGACUGACACCAAACCCCAGUGGUUUCAGCCCGUGUGGUCCUCUCCUGCCCGACCCUUCCGAGCACUGGCCCCAGACCUCCGUGGUCCACGCGUCCGCAGCCCGCAGGCUGUCACGGGAUGAAAUACAUGUCAGCUUCCCUGGCCCUCGGACCUUGGUGUUUCCUUCCGGCUUGACGGUUUGGAGGACACCUCCUGAUGGGGGAGGGCAGAGCAGGAGAUCCAGGAACAACCCAGCAGCCCCAGCCAGGGCUCAGGCCUGCAGAGACCUGCCUGCCCCGCCAGUCCCUGCAGGGGACCCAGGUCUGUGGGACUAGGGGCCAUGCCAGCAGGCCAGCCAUGAGUGGGGUCGCUCUGCCAUCCAGUGUCCUGAUGACGGCUCUGUGACAUGCAGAGUGGCUUCCCUCCUCUCUCACAGGGCCCCUGAUUGUCACCUUGGUAGCUUCUUCCCAAGUGCCCUCAGCUGCAGUCAGCGUUAGAAGGGCCUGACUGUGGCUGUUGAGCACACAUUGUAUAUCUGCUUGGACAUUUCCUAUGGCCAGAACAAAGGCCCUUGAGAUAAAGGUCCUCCCCCUCCGACAUUGGCAUUUCCUUAGGGAUAAGCAUCUUUCAUUAGGCUACGAAGUGAUUGCUGCACUCACCUUUGACCACCCAGCUCACCUGUGACCACCCAGCUGGAGACAACAGACUGCCACCCUGCGGGGUUCACUGAGACAGAAGACCUGCCUGCUGUUUCCAUCAAUCGCUGUGCUGACAGAGCAGUCUCGCGACGAUUGUAAAAGGGACAUUUCAAUCCUAUGUGAAACAUCCUCUUUGGGGGUAUAUAACCACUCUGUGCACCCCACUUCUUUGGUGCCCUUUCUUCCUUCGGGAAGAAAGGCCCCAGGUUAUAAUCCUCAAAUUUAAGCUCAGAAUAAACUCACCCAAAUUUUCAUUUAUAGAUUGGUUAUGGAUUAUUUUCGUCGACAUUGGUGAGCCAGGAGCCUGGUGGAGAUUGGAGGAGGAGAGAGCAGUGGGAUUUGACCCGCCACCACCUCCUGCAGGGUCCCCUGGGACAGUCCCUGUCCCCCCACUUCCCAUCGCUUCUCUGGGGCAGUGUCCCCAUGGCCCUCUCACCCCCUUUGCAGCCUGGGCGGUAGGUCGCUCGUGACCCUGCAGCCAGCCCUGGAGGCACUGUGCGUGUCUCUGGUUUCCCGGGGUCCUGCCUACCCCUCUCCAAAUGGUGCUCAGAGGCCACUCUCUCCUGGUUUUCUGACUUGGGUGGUCAUCUGUUUCUGUUGGGAGCCUGAUUGAGACACUGCCUCUGCCUGACUCUCGAGGUGGGGGAGGGACUCCAUCA
This 1945-nucleotide long non-coding RNA is filed under the name Equus caballus (horse). Its description in RNAcentral is "lncRNA (ENSECAG00000056029.1)". The record is from RNAcentral. Lineage: Eukaryota; Metazoa; Chordata; Mammalia; Perissodactyla; Equidae.